This 122-nucleotide ribosomal RNA is filed under the name Cladophialophora yegresii. RNAcentral describes it as "partial large subunit ribosomal RNA". The record is from RNAcentral. Lineage: Eukaryota; Fungi; Ascomycota; Eurotiomycetes; Chaetothyriales; Herpotrichiellaceae.
GUUGUAAUUUGUAGAGGAUGUUUUGGGUACCGCCCCGGUCUAAAUUUCUUGGAACAGAAUGUCAAAGAGGGUGAGAAUCCCGUCUUGGACCGGCGGUAGGGCCUGUGUAAAACUCCUUCGAC